Triticum aestivum (bread wheat) is the source of this 1214-nucleotide long non-coding RNA. RefSeq lists it as uncharacterized. The record is from RefSeq and is a predicted model, not a curated record. Lineage: Eukaryota; Viridiplantae; Streptophyta; Magnoliopsida; Poales; Poaceae. The transcript is spliced from 6 exons.
UGUCACUUUGUUAAACUUUGUUCUCUUAUUCUGAUGCUAUGAUUUGUGGCUAGAUGAGAUUUGUGGUGAAAAGUCUCAUUUAUUUUGUUUACCUAGAGAUCUUGAAUGCACGAUUGAUAAUAUUGCUGGAUAGGUUAGAAAUCUAAAUAAUAGACAUUUUAAAGGAUGUAGUUGCUAAACAUGGAAAGCCAAGAAAAAUAUAUAGCUUACUUACAGUGUUGUUUGAUCCAUCGCUCUAUGGCAGGCUCACUGAUGGACUUGAAGUAUGCCUAAUCUUGGACUGCAUUUAUUGCCUGUUGUUGGGAGCUUUGGAUGGCGGUCUUGAUAUUGCGCACAGUGACAAGAGAUUGCUGGCUUCAAGAAGGAUAAGAAGCAGCUGGGCACUAAGAUUCACCGCAAAUACAUCUAUGAAGGUCAUGUUGCUGACUGCAUGAAGUCAAUAGCUGAUGAGGAAUCUAAGAAGUACCAUCUCACUUCAACACGACGGACGCUGCCAGGUCUGCGUCGACAUCGUGCUCACGGAGCCUGGCCUCUGCGUUGUGUUCUCCAUCUUGCAGUGCAUGAUGAACUACACGCUAAAGUUCAGCUGAAUUUCCCCUGUUUUCUUCUACUACAAGAGUUCUGUCGAUUUGUACUACUUGGCUGCAAAUGUAUGCCGUUUGCAUCACCAUACAGUAGGUAAUCAUGACAGUAUUUCACCACCGGUAAUCUUGCUGUCUUUUAUGGUUGCAGGUUUAUUCUUCUGGAAUUAUUCAUGGUUCUCAUCAUAGCCAUACUGAAUGAUGAUCUCUUCCAUCCAGAAUAUAGCUGCAUAGAAAAUUUAAUCAAUGUAAAAAGACAGGGUAUAAGUGGCAUGCUGUUGAGAACAAAAAGAAGAAGAGAUUGCAGCAUACCUGUUGAACACCUCAGACAUAUUGUUGAGGAGGAUGUCACAUUUGCAGAAAGGGUUAAAGAAAGCCUUUAUCCAUGUUCUUGGAGACAACUUCUCAACCCACUUGUCAUCCUUCAAUGAAGCCAAGAACCACUCCCAACUACUUGUCGAUUCUACUUCACAAAGACCAAAUGCAAUGGGGAAUAUGCAGUCAUUGGGAUCGACACCAACUGCUGUAAGCAAAUUUCCUUUGUACCUAGUUUUAAUGUGGCAGCAACAACAACAACAACAACAACAACAAAGCCUUUAGUCCCAAGCAAGUUGGGGUAGGCUAGAGGUGAAA